RNAcentral lists this non-coding RNA (30 nucleotides) under Rattus norvegicus (Norway rat). The record is from RNAcentral. Lineage: Eukaryota; Metazoa; Chordata; Mammalia; Rodentia; Muridae.
AAGGCCAAGGUCCCGACAGACGGAUCGCCU